UCAAGUUCAAUAGAAUAAAGACCCCAUACUACAUAUGAACCUCAUGAUUGUAAUAGCAUGAACCCAAUGCUUGGUUUCUUCGGCUCCCCCCUGAUCACAGGAACUACUGUAUCAAAAACAUCACCAAGCUUUCUCAAACCUACUACACUUCACCCAACCAGUAUAGCGCUGGUACCACCACCGACUGCACCUGUGCUUCCUUUCAUCUCCCCAGGCUCUUCCAGAGAGGAUAAAUGAGUUGAUUUGAUAUCCAGCGCAACCUCGAGCCGCUGUUCCUCAGACUUGCUCCAG
This 291-nucleotide long non-coding RNA is filed under the name Brachypodium distachyon (stiff brome). RNAcentral's name for it is "long non-coding RNA (BDIS_LNC003847)". The record is from RNAcentral. Lineage: Eukaryota; Viridiplantae; Streptophyta; Magnoliopsida; Poales; Poaceae.